Molecule: ribosomal RNA, 472 nt
Filed under: uncultured bacterium
Lineage: Bacteria
Description: bacterial SSU rRNA
Rfam family: Bacterial small subunit ribosomal RNA
Source: RNAcentral
GACGAACGCUGGCGGCGCGCCUUACGCAUGCAAGUCGAACGCCCCGAUUUAUCGGGGAGUGGCGGACGGCUGAGUAACGCGUAGGUAACCUGUCCCACAGUGGGGGAUAACCCGCCGAAAGGCGAGCUAAUACCGCAUACGCUCGCGCGGUGAGAGACCGCGUGAGGAAAGCCGCAAGGCGCUGAGGGAGGGGCCUGCGUCCUAUCAGGUAGUUGGUGGGGUAACGGCUCACCAAGCCGACGACGGGUAGCUGGUCUGAGAGGACGGCCAGCCAGACGGGGACUGAGACACGGCCCCGACUCCUACGGGAGGCAGCAGCGAGGAAUCUUGGGCAAUGGGCGAAAGCCUGACCCAGCGACGCCGCGUGGGGGAAGAAGGCCUUCGGGUCGUAAACCCCUUUUGCCGGGGAAGAAGCUCUGACGGUACCCGGCGAAUAAGCCACGGCUAACUACGUGCCAGCAGCCGCGGUAAU